CACUCAAACUAGUAAAGAACUGAAAGUGCGAGGACACGUCGUAUGGCUGCGCCAUGCUAACUCCGAGCCAUUGAAAGAUUGCUUCCCAUACCUUUGAGGUCUUUGGACAGUGAAUCAACAAGUGGUUCGUGGAUUCCUGCCGAUGAAAACAGGCGUUACAUCCCACCUCGACUUCACACAACUUCACAUUUCUUCUCGAGAGAUUGUCACACGUCGGAAUUCUGUUCUUCAAAAUUCUCCAU
This 242-nucleotide long non-coding RNA is filed under the name Salvia miltiorrhiza (redroot sage). Its description in RNAcentral is "long non-coding RNA (SMIL_LNC012696)". Lineage: Eukaryota; Viridiplantae; Streptophyta; Magnoliopsida; Lamiales; Lamiaceae. The record is from RNAcentral.